This 379-nucleotide ribosomal RNA is filed under the name uncultured bacterium. RNAcentral describes it as "bacterial SSU rRNA". It matches the Rfam family "Bacterial small subunit ribosomal RNA", at positions 129 to 507 of the family's 1533-position model. The record is from RNAcentral.
GCUCAGGACUGACACAACUCGGUCGAAAGACGGGCUAAUAUCAGAUAAUGCAGCGGCUCCGCAUGGGGACAGUUGUAAAGUACAAGCGCCUGAAGAUGAGCCUGCGGUCCAUUAGCUAGUUGGUAGAGUAACAGCCUACCAAGGCAACGAUGGAUAGCUGGUCUGAGAGGAUGAUCAGCCACACUGGAACUGAGACACGGUCCAGACUCCUACGGGAGGCAGCAGUAAGGAAUAUUGCUCAAUGGCCGAAAGGCUGAAGCAGCAACGCCGCGUGAAGGAUGAAUGGCCUUUGGCCUGUAAACUUCUGUAAAAAGGGAAAAACAGUCAGGUAUAUCCUGAUUUGAUUGUACCUUUGAAGUAAGCCCCGGCUAACUACGUG